UUAAGCGACUAAGCGUACACGGUGGAUGCCCUGGCAGUCAGAGGCGAUGAAGGACGUGCUAAUCUGCGAAAAGCGUCGGUAAGGUGAUAUGAACCGUUAUAGCCGGCGAUGUCCGAAUGGGGAAACCCAGUGCAAUUCGUUGCACUAUCGUUAACUGAAUACAUAGGUUAACGAGGCGAACCGGGGGAACUGAAACAUCUAAGUACCCCGAGGAAAAGAAAUCAACCGAGAUUCCCCCAGUAGCGGCGAGCGAACGGGGAGCAGCCCAGAGUCUGAAUCAGCUUGUGUGUUAGUGGAACGGUCUGGAAAGUCCGACGGUACAGGGUGAUAGUCCCGUACACCAAAAUGCACAGGUUGUGAACUCGAAGAGUAGGGCGGGACACGUGGUAUCCUGUCUGAAUAUGGGGGGACCAUCCUCCAAGGCUAAAUACUCCUGACUGACCGAUAGUGAACCAGUACCGUGAGGGAAAGGCGAAAAGAACCCCGGCGAGGGGAGUGAAAAAGAACCUGAAACCGUGUACGUACAAGCAGUGGGAGCACCUUCGGGUGUGACUGCGUACCUUUUGUAUAAUGGGUCAGCGACUUAUAUUCUGUAGCAAGGUUAACCGUAUAGGGGAGCCGCAGGGAAACCGAGUCUUAACUGGGCGUUAAGUUGCAGGGUAUAGACCCGAAACCCGGUGAUCUAGCCAUGGGCAGGUUGAAGGUUGGGUAACACUAACUGGAGGACCGAACCGACUAAUGUUGAAAAAUUAGCGGAUGACUUGUGGCUGGGGGUGAAAGGCCAAUCAAACCGGGAGAUAGCUGGUUCUCCCCGAAAGCUAUUUAGGUAGCGCCUCGUGAACUCAUCUUCGGGGGUAGAGCACUGUUUCGGCUAGGGGGUCAUCCCGACUUACCAACCCGAUGCAAACUACGAAUACCGAAGAAUGUUAUCACGGGAGACACACGGCGGGUGCUAACGUCCGUCGUGAAGAGGGAAACAACCCAGACCGCCAGCUAAGGUCCCAAAGUCAUGGUUAAGUGGGAAACGAUGUGGGAAGGCACAGACAGCCAGGAUGUUGGCUUAGAAGCAGCCAUCAUUUAAAGAAAGCGUAAUAGCUCACUGGUCGAGUCGGCCUGCGCGGAAGAUGUAACGGGGCUAAACCAUGCACCGAAGCUGCGGCAGCGACACUAUGUGUUGUUGGGUAGGGGAGCGUUCUGUAAGCCUGCGAAGGUGACCUGUGAGGGUUGCUGGAGGUAUCAGAAGUGCGAAUGCUGACAUAAGUAACGAUAAAGCGGGUGAAAAGCCCGCUCGCCGGAAGACCAAGGGUUCCUGUCCAACGUUAAUCGGGGCAGGGUGAGUCGACCCCUAAGGCGAGGCCGAAAGGCGUAGUCGAUGGGAAACAGGUUAAUAUUCCUGUACUUGGUGUUACUGCGAAGGGGGGACGGAGAAGGCUAUGUUAGCCGGGCGACGGUUGUCCCGGUUUAAGCAUGUAGGCUGGUUGUCCAGGCAAAUCCGGAUAAUCAAGGCUGAGGUGUGAUGACGAGGCACUACGGUGCUGAAGUAACAAAUGCCCUGCUUCCAGGAAAAGCCUCUAAGCAUCAGGUAACAUCAAAUCGUACCCCAAACCGACACAGGUGGUCAGGUAGAGAAUACCAAGGCGCUUGAGAGAACUCGGGUGAAGGAACUAGGCAAAAUGGUGCCGUAACUUCGGGAGAAGGCACGCUGGUGUGUAGGUGAAGUCCCUGCGGAUGGAGCUGAGACCAGUCGAAGAUACCAGCUGGCUGCAACUGUUUAUUAAAAACACAGCACUGUGCAAACACGAAAGUGGACGUAUACGGUGUGACGCCUGCCCGGUGCCGGAAGGUUAAUUGAUGGGGUUAUCCGUAAGGAGAAGCUCUUGAUCGAAGCCCCGGUAAACGGCGGCCGUAACUAUAACGGUCCUAAGGUAGCGAAAUUCCUUGUCGGGUAAGUUCCGACCUGCACGAAUGGCGUAAUGAUGGCCAGGCUGUCUCCACCCGAGACUCAGUGAAAUUGAACUCGCUGUGAAGAUGCAGUGUACCCGCGGCAAGACGGAAAGACCCCGUGAACCUUUACUAUAGCUUGACACUGAACAUUGAGCCUUGAUGUGUAGGAUAGGUGGGAGGCUUUGAAGCGUGGACGCCAGUCUGCGUGGAGCCAACCUUGAAAUACCACCCUUUAAUGUUUGAUGUUCUAACGUUGGCCCCUUACCGGGGUUGCGGACAGUGUCUGGUGGGUAGUUUGACUGGGGCGGUCUCCUCCCAAAGCGUAACGGAGGAGCACGAAGGUUAGCUAAUCCUGGUCGGACAUCAGGAGGUUAGUGCAAUGGCAUAAGCUAGCUUGACUGCGAGCGUGACGGCGCGAGCAGGUGCGAAAGCAGGUCAUAGUGAUCCGGUGGUUCUGAAUGGAAGGGCCAUCGCUCAACGGAUAAAAGGUACUCCGGGGAUAACAGGCUGAUACCGCCCAAGAGUUCAUAUCGACGGCGGUGUUUGGCACCUCGAUGUCGGCUCAUCACAUCCUGGGGCUGAAGUAGGUCCCAAGGGUAUGGCUGUUCGCCAUUUAAAGUGGUACGCGAGCUGGGUUUAGAACGUCGUGAGACAGUUCGGUCCCUAUCUGCCGUGGGCGCUGGAGAAUUGAGGGGGGCUGCUCCUAGUACGAGAGGACCGGAGUGGACGCAUCACUGGUGUUCGGGUUGUCAUGCCAAUGGCACUGCCCGGUAGCUAAAUGCGGAAGAGAUAAGUGCUGAAAGCAUCUAAGCACGAAACUUGCCCCGAGAUGAGUUCUCCCUGAGACUUUAAGUCUCCUGAAGGAACGUUGAAGACGACGACGUUGAUAGGCCGGGUGUGUAAGCGCAGCGAUGCGUUGAGCUAACCGGUACUAAUGAACCGUGAGGCUUAACCU
This 2899-nucleotide ribosomal RNA is filed under the name Klebsiella pneumoniae. Its description in RNAcentral is "23S ribosomal RNA". It matches the Rfam family "Bacterial large subunit ribosomal RNA". Lineage: Bacteria; Pseudomonadati; Pseudomonadota; Gammaproteobacteria; Enterobacterales; Enterobacteriaceae. The record is from RNAcentral.